Castor canadensis (American beaver) is the source of this 106-nucleotide small nuclear RNA. NCBI's taxonomy places the organism in Eukaryota, Metazoa, Chordata, Mammalia, Rodentia, Castoridae. The record is from Ensembl.
GUGCUCACUUUGGCAGCACAUAUACUAAAAUUGAAUGAUAGAGAGAAGGUUAGCAUGGUCUCUAGAUAAGAAUAACACACAAAUUCAUGAAACAUUCCAGAUUUUU